RNAcentral lists this unclassified non-coding RNA (248 nucleotides) under Hevea brasiliensis (rubber tree). The record is from RNAcentral. Lineage: Eukaryota; Viridiplantae; Streptophyta; Magnoliopsida; Malpighiales; Euphorbiaceae.
UUCUAUUAGGUUUAGUAUUUUAUUACUUUGGAAUUUUUAAUUGAUUUAGGAUUCCUAAUUAGUAUUUAAGUAGGGUUUCUUGUUUAAGGAUUCCUAAUCCUAGUAGUAAUUGGAGUAGUUAUUUUACCAAAACUACAUGUCUUUUCGAUGGAUUUUAGUAGUUUUGAUUAAUAUGAUUAUUAUUGAGAUUUAGUCCCCUGUUAGGAGACUAGAAUUUUAUAAUCCAAUUGAUUUCUUUUUUGUCAAUU